Molecule: transfer RNA, 73 nt
Filed under: Camelus bactrianus (Bactrian camel)
Lineage: Eukaryota; Metazoa; Chordata; Mammalia; Artiodactyla; Camelidae
Also listed under: 2 other names
Rfam family: tRNA
About the family: Transfer RNA (tRNA) molecules are approximately 80 nucleotides in length. Their secondary structure includes four short double-helical elements and three loops (D, anti-codon, and T loops). Further hydrogen bonds mediate the characteristic L-shaped molecular structure. tRNAs have two regions of fundamental functional importance: the anti-codon, which is responsible for specific mRNA codon recognition, and the 3' end, to which the tRNAs corresponding amino acid is attached (by aminoacyl-tRNA synthetases). tRNAs cope with the degeneracy of the genetic code in two manners: having more than one tRNA (with a specific anti-codon) for a particular amino acid; and 'wobble' base-pairing, i.e. permitting non-standard base-pairing at the 3rd anti-codon position.
Source: Rfam by way of RNAcentral
GAGGGUAGAGCUCAAAUGGCAGAGUACAUGCCUAACAUGCAGAAGGUCAUGGGUUCAAGCCCCAGUACCUCCU